RNAcentral lists this ribosomal RNA (254 nucleotides) under uncultured bacterium. RNAcentral's name for it is "partial 16S ribosomal RNA". It matches the Rfam family "Bacterial small subunit ribosomal RNA", at positions 524 to 776 of the family's 1533-position model. The record is from RNAcentral.
UACGGGGGGAGCAAGCGUUGUUCGGAUUUACUGGGCGUAAAGGGCGCGUAGGCGGUCAGCACAAGUCAGUUGUGAAAUCUCCGGGCUUAACUCGGAAAGGUCAACUGAUACUGUGCGACUAGAGUGCAGAAGGGGCAACUGGAAUUCUCGGUGUAGCGGUGAAAUGCGUAGAUAUCUGGAGGAACACCGGUGGCGAAGGCGGCAUUCUGGACCGAUAUUGACGCUGAGGAGCGAAAGCCAGGGGAGCAAACGGG